This 23-nucleotide microRNA is filed under the name Caenorhabditis elegans. RNAcentral describes it as "cel-miR-235-5p". Its record names the gene cel-miR-235-5p. The record is from miRBase by way of RNAcentral. Lineage: Eukaryota; Metazoa; Nematoda; Chromadorea; Rhabditida; Rhabditidae.
AGGCCUUGGCUGAUUGCAAAAUU